RNAcentral lists this long non-coding RNA (271 nucleotides) under Panax ginseng (ginseng). RNAcentral describes it as "long non-coding RNA (PGIN_LNC009133)". Lineage: Eukaryota; Viridiplantae; Streptophyta; Magnoliopsida; Apiales; Araliaceae. The record is from RNAcentral.
GACACGAAGGCUGGUGGUAUUAUCCCACAAUGGAGAGAUGAAGGUCCGGAGGUGGGGACACGAAGCCAGCCGGUAUUAUCCCACAAUGGCUAGAGAGGCAAAGAUCUUUGGGCCGUGUGUGUGAUCGGUUCUGACGGGGACGUCAGAAAUUUAAGUGGGGGAGUUUGUAACACCCCAGUCCCACAUCGAAAGAUAGGGGGAAAAAUUUGUCUGCAUAUAAGGAAAUAAAGUUACUACCAAUAGUACCUUCAAGUCAUGACCUUUUGGGAGC